This 574-nucleotide ribosomal RNA is filed under the name Saccharomyces cerevisiae (brewer's yeast). Its description in RNAcentral is "eukaryotic LSU rRNA". It matches the Rfam family "Eukaryotic large subunit ribosomal RNA", at positions 62 to 650 of the family's 3401-position model. Lineage: Eukaryota; Fungi; Ascomycota; Saccharomycetes; Saccharomycetales; Saccharomycetaceae. The record is from RNAcentral.
AAACCAACCGGGAUUGCCUUAGUAACGGCGAGUGAAGCGGCAAAAGCUCAAAUUUGAAAUCUGGUACCUUCGGUGCCCGAGUUGUAAUUUGGAGAGGGCAACUUUGGGGCCGUUCCUUGUCUAUGUUCCUUGGAACAGGACGUCAUAGAGGGUGAGAAUCCCGUGUGGCGAGGAGUGCGGUUCUUUGUAAAGUGCCUUCGAAGAGUCGAGUUGUUUGGGAAUGCAGCUCUAAGUGGGUGGUAAAUUCCAUCUAAAGCUAAAUAUUGGCGAGAGACCGAUAGCGAACAAGUACAGUGAUGGAAAGAUGAAAAGAACUUUGAAAAGAGAGUGAAAAAGUACGUGAAAUUGUUGAAAGGGAAGGGCAUUUGAUCAGACAUGGUGUUUUGUGCCCUCUGCUCCUUGUGGGUAGGGGAAUCUCGCAUUUCACUGGGCCAGCAUCAGUUUUGGUGGCAGGAUAAAUCCAUAGGAAUGUAGCUUGCCUCGGUAAGUAUUAUAGCCUGUGGGAAUACUGCCAGCUGGGACUGAGGACUGCGACGUAAGUCAAGGAUGCUGGCAUAAUGGUUAUAUGCCGCCC